AACGAGACCUUAACCUGCUAAAUAGCCAGGCUGGCUUUGGCUGGUCGCCGGCUUCUUAGAGGGACUAUCGGCUCAAGCCGAUGGAAGUUUGAGGCAAUAACAGGUUGACCUUUAUCACAGGCCUGUAAAAGCG
This 133-nucleotide ribosomal RNA is filed under the name Clarireedia homoeocarpa. RNAcentral's name for it is "partial small subunit ribosomal RNA". The stretch from base 1 to 105 matches the Rfam family "Eukaryotic small subunit ribosomal RNA", at positions 1334 to 1461 of the family's 1831-position model. The record is from RNAcentral. Lineage: Eukaryota; Fungi; Ascomycota; Leotiomycetes; Helotiales; Rutstroemiaceae.